This is a long non-coding RNA of Hyla sarda, 329 nucleotides long. RefSeq lists it as uncharacterized. The record is from RefSeq and is a predicted model, not a curated record. Lineage: Eukaryota; Metazoa; Chordata; Amphibia; Anura; Hylidae. The transcript is spliced from 3 exons.
UAUAUAUAGACUCAGGCAAGGUUUAGCCCAGAGCCGGAGGAGCGGUGUCAAUCUCCCCAUCUGCCUACCACUAACCAGGCAUCUUCUGUUACCACAAGCCAGAAAUCAAAGAAGCCUUCAUCCAGUCAAAGUACAAUUGGGGUAUCCCAAAAAAAGAAAAGAUCAAAGGGAAAUGAGGGUGAAAUGGUGCCUGACUUUCCAACUGAGGAAUUAAUCCUAUUAGUCCAAGAUCGGCCAGCACUGUGGGAUCAUACCCAUGAAAAACACUCAGACAAUUAUCAUACAAGAAAUAUGUGGCAGGAAGUGGGGGAAUGUUUAAUUCCGAACUA